CCUCAAAUCAGGUAGGACUACCCGCUGAACUUAAGCAUAU
RNAcentral lists this ribosomal RNA (40 nucleotides) under uncultured Inocybe. RNAcentral's name for it is "partial 25S ribosomal RNA". The record is from RNAcentral. Lineage: Eukaryota; Fungi; Basidiomycota; Agaricomycetes; Agaricales; Cortinariaceae.